AACCGUAAUCGUACCCCCUCCUAACUGCCAAAGUGUCAUGGCCGCCGUCGGGACCUAUUGUGCUGACAUUUACAAUGUUUACAUAUAGAAAAGUUUGUUUUUUUUCUGCUUAUAAUGCCGUUUUCUAAAGAUAUUAGUGAACAAAAUCGAUUUGCUAACAAUAUUUAAUAUAUUUUAAAUGUGCUAAAAUUGGAUUCAACAGCAAAAGUCGCAUAAAUAACAUAUAAAUAACGAAUUUGUUCACCUAUUACAAAUGGGGUUAUGUGGUUGUAACUGUUUAUUUUGGGAAUAAAAUGAAAAUGAUCAAUUAAACGACUGGAAAACUAUAGUGAAGUGAAGAACAUCUUGAAGUUCCAAUGAUGUUUCAAGAUGAGGUAAAUCGAAAUAAUUGUAUGUUAGAAGGACAGAGAAUAUGAAGAAAUGUUAUUGCUGCAUAUUUAGUGUAGUGAAAUACAAACUUCAAACAUUAUAAUAUAUUUUUUGAUUUCAAACAUUUCAUAUGAUUAUGAAAGAACAUCUUUCUUUUUAAAACAAUGAAGAAGUGAAGAACAUAAUAAAGUUCCAACGAAAAUGAUUCCAGAUGAGGAAAAUCGAAAUAAUGGUUGUAUGUUAAGUGUAUAGAGAAUACGAAGAAAUGUUAUUGCUGCAAACUUAGUGUAGUGAAUUAAAAACUUAUUGUCAAAUACAAAUCAAUUUAUUUCAUACUUUUAUAAUAUAUAGUGAUAUAAUUUUAUAUGUGUUCAAAUAAAAAUAUUAAUAAAUAAAAUACAAUAAACACAAA
Long non-coding RNA from Diabrotica virgifera virgifera (western corn rootworm), 781 nucleotides. RefSeq lists it as uncharacterized. The transcript is spliced from 2 exons. Lineage: Eukaryota; Metazoa; Arthropoda; Insecta; Coleoptera; Chrysomelidae. The record is from RefSeq and is a predicted model, not a curated record.